AAUAUUUUCCUCAACCCCAUUUCUAGUCUGACAUCCUCUUCCACGUGGUUCUUGUUGUUCGGGCCUGCUUGGUCGCUGUGGAGGGUGAUCAGGACGAGGUUGAUCUUCUUCUUCGUCCUCGUCCUCGUCAUCUUCAUGCUUUCCAUGGCUUGGUCGUCGUGGAGGAUAAGAGGGAGUUUGUUCAUAUUCUUCGUCUUCAUCUUCGUCUUCGUCUUCUUGUUCUUGCCACUUGGGGCUGAUAACGCUGAGGCCUCCCUCCACUGUCACGAUCUGCUUCCUUUCGUCAUCUGGAGACCGAAGUUUCUCAGCUGUGUCCUCGUUGGUGUUGAAGGAUUGUGCUAAGAAAUGUUUGCUGAAGCCACUGAGCACACUGCCACCUUCUUCCUCCUGCUGCUGGUGUUGCCCCUGCUUGCGUCCACCAUGACUCUUCUGCUGCUGCUGUUGUUGCAUGGUCUCUGGGUGCUCUAUAUCUGGGUUCCCAGCAAGGUAAAAUACCUUGAAAGUAAUUAAAAAAAUUAACAUGUGAGGAGAACAUGUUUUUUUUAAUAAUAAAAUAAUAGUUAAUAGUAAAUGAAGUUCAAUUGAUAUCCAAUCAUGAUACAAGUAUAUAUCCAACUAUUUUAAACACUCCAUUAAUAUAACUUAUUUCUCUUUUCUUAUCACAUUAUAAAUUCUAUCCUAUUUAUAUGUAUUUUUUUCUUUUUCAUUUCUCCCUCUAGAUAUAAGAUAGUGUUCUUCAAACAUUUUUCAUAAAUAAUAAAACAUAACAUCCAAAUGAUGUGAUAUAAAGUAUAUUAAUUAUUUUAUUACUUAGUAUAUUUAAUAAAAGAAAAUAAUAAUAAAAAAUAUUUUGUUAGGUGUCUUUUUAAGUGUGUAUGAUACUAUGCAGUGACAUGUGUAUCACUGCUCAUUAUAAUUACGUACUCUGGGGUUUUGAUCAAGCUGAUUGUUGAAGUUGGAGGUGUCAAGAAGACUGAUGGCAACAACUGGUUCAUCGCCAGUGUUAUAGGUCCAGUAAGGAACACCAGGAGGAAUCACUAGUACGUCUCCUUCAUUGAAGUGACGAAUCUUCUGGUGACUGUCUUGUAGUUGCUGCUGCGACCUUGAGCCUCUUCUGCUUGAUUGCUGUUGUGGCUUCUCAAACGUCUCAGGACAUCCCGGAAAUGCAAAUCCAAUUGCUCCCUUCCCUGUGCAUCAAUCAUCAUCAAGCAAAACAAUCACAUUAAUUAUCAACUAAUUAACACUCUUUAGUCAUCAUAAUUGUUAAGAGUUCAUUCAUAUAACUUGUAAGAUAGUUAGUCAUCAAAUUGUGAUUAGACAUAUAGAUAUAUAGUAUUAUUAUUAUUAUUAUUAUUAUUAGUUUUAUUAGAUGAUACUAUGCCAUAAUGUGGUGUUUAAAACCUAGUUGAGAAAAACAAAUUCUACUAAAAAUGAUUAAUCAAAUUUUCUAGCAGAGAUUAAUUAUAAAAAAUUUAAUAAAUAUUUCAUAUUACUAUUAUUGUUAUCACGUUAAGCUGAUAAAUACUUCUUACUAAUAUUACGCACCUUGAACGACAAUGAUCAUUUGGGGAUAAGGUGAGUAAGAUGGCAAGUGGAGGCCGUUGCGGUUGAGGGUGCGUUUGGAAACAGUGACACCGGCGCAUUGCAGCUCAGGGUGUUGAGAGUUCCAUGUUUCAAUAAGACCACCUUCGGACUCAACGCGGUGGUCGGGUUCCAACGCGUUGAGGUUGUUGAGUUGGCACUCGUUGAACUUGCUGGAGGUAAUAGCAAAGCAUGCACUCGACAAGAGUAGCAAGCAAAGGGAAGAAAGAGAGAGAGUGAAGAAGGGCUUCCCCAUAUUGAACUAAGGAAAGUGUUAAUAAGUUUGAAGGAGUUGGUGAAGUGGAGAACACGAAGAGUGGCGAUUUAUAGUGAAGAGAGGAGAGUGAGUGAGGGACACGUCAAUGAAGAAGGGUUUCUGAGUUGGUGACAUUCUUCACCUUGCAUGGCUAUUGUUUCCAAUUUUGUUACACCUCAUACAUAAGCUAUGCUUCGUUUAUAUCUGCAACCGUACAUGAACAACACCAAAAUUGCAGGCACCCUGAAUGGUCCCCCUCUACAGAUUCUCCGCGUCUCAAAUUCUAUCCUCCUUAUACAAUAAGAUCAGCAUUCUAUUCAGUGCAUCAUAUUUUUUUUAUACAAUUAAUUUCCUUUAUAAAUGAGAUAAGGAUAUGAAAAAAAUGUGAAAUAAAAUAAAUAAUAUUACUGUAAAAGAUAAAAAAAAAGGUUUUAUAAACUGUUAAAUAAUUUUUUUAUAACCAUACUAUAUCAUCUUUUAUAUAAUGCGUUAAAUAUUAAAAAAGAAAAUGACAUCCACAAUAAUCUUAUCUAACUCCUGCAGCAUAAUUGUCUCUGUAAAAGAUAUAUAUCAAAUACUAUGAUGUUUAAAAUCUUUCUCAAUUUGAACUGUUUUACUGUAUAUGCAGUUCGUCACCAUAUAUAAGGUUGGCAUGGAAAAGGAGAAAGAGAGAAAUUGCUGCUUCGAAUCCAUUCUAUUCACAUUUAUAAUAAAAACUAAUAAAUUAACAUUUAUUUAUAAAAAAAAAUUAAUGAUAAAUUUUUCAAAAUUAUAUAUAAAUUAUUUUCACACUAAUUUUUUUUAAAUGUCACUUAGAUUUAAUCAUAAAUCGAAUUUUGAGUAUAUAAUUAUAUUAAACACUUUAAAAAAAAAGGUUUUAUUUCCCAUAAUAAUUCUCCUUGACUUAAAUAAGAUUACCUCCUUUUAUGAAAGGAUACCAAUGCUUUUAAACUUAAAAAUAAAACACUUAAUAAUGUGUCAAAAAAUCAAACACUAUUUUUAUGCCUAAUUGAUUACAUGACGAGCGUGCAUGUUAUAUUAGAUAGACACGCGUUUUACUAGAUUAAAUAUUUUUUAGUUCUUCAAAAUUUAGUAAAAUUCGUUUUUGGAUCCUCAGGUUUAAAGUUAAACGUUUUCAUUUAUAAUUUGAGAAAUAGACUUGUUUUCAUCCUUCAUACUAGUGACCAUAGGUGAAAUGCUAAUGUGGUCAAUGGAUUCAAGUCAUAAUUCGAUCACCACGUCAUUUCCGGUUCAUGUGACCUAAUGGUGUCACAUUAAAGGAACGAAAACUGAAUUUUGCAUUUAAGAGGGAAUUAAACAUUUAGAUUGAAUUAUUAAAAAGAUUAAAAUCGAACUUUAUACGAGAGUCCAAAAGUAUUUUAUUAUGCUUAUAUGUUAAAAUUCAAUAGAAUAAAUAAGUACUCUCCUAUAUGAAGAACCAUAUACUAAUUCCGUUGAUUGAGUAUUAGCUAUGUACUAACAGAAAUAAUUUCCGUUUUUCCCCUUUCUCUUUCUCGUUCUUGGAAAAGUGUGUGCAUGAUUUUUUUUUUAUGAAUUCAUACUCCAACAAAUGGUAUCCAGAGCAGGUUGUUGAAGGGUGGUCAUCGAUCGAAAGUGAGGUGAGUGAAACCUAAACACGAGAGACGGUAAGCGAGUGAAAACACGAGAGACGGUGAGGAACCUUAUCAAUGGCAACAACGAACGAAAACUUUCCGGCGAACUUUCCGGUUCUUGAUGGGAGAAAUUACGAUCAGUGGAGUAUGAAGAUGAAGGCGAUCCUCGAUUAUCAAGAUGUGUGGGAUCUGGUGGUGAACGGACUUGAUCCGCUGCCGGUGAAUCCAACCACUGCGUAACAAGCGAUAUAUAGAGAUGCGAAGAAGAAGGAUUGCAAAGGUUUGUGCAUUCUGCAUCAGUGUGUGAAUCAAGCAAUUUUUGAGAAAUUUGCGAGAUCGGAGACGAGCAAAGCGGCGUGGGAUGUUCUCGCGAGCUCCUACGCCGGUGAUCAGAAAUUGAAGAAAGUACGACUUCAAACUCUAAGGUGACAGUAUGAAUUGCUAGGCAUGGAAGAGAGUGAGACAAUUGCUACCUAUUUCACUCGUGUUCAAACCAUGACAAAUCAAACGCCGGUGAUCGGUGCAUUCGCGAUUUGAUCAUGUCACGGUAGCGAUUGAAGAAUCGAAGGAUCUAUCAACGCUAAAAUGGAGGAGCUCAAGNNNNNNNNNNNNNNNNNNNNNNNNNNNNNNNNNNNNNNNNNNNNNNNNNNNNNNNNNNNNNNNNNNNNNNNNNNNNNNNNNNNNNNNNNNNNNNNNNNNNAACUCUGGUAGAGGAAACUCUAGUAAUAAUUACAAUAGUGAACAAAAGAACAAUAGCAGUGAAAAUUAUAGAAGAAGAGGUGGAAGAGGUGGUAGAGGAAGAGGUGGAAGAGGAGGAAGAAAAAUUGAUAAGAGUCACAUUCAAUGUUAUAAUUGUGAGAAAUACGGUCAUUUUGCCGAUGAAUGCUAUAGUAAUCCAAGCCACCCUGAGGCAAGAUUGGCUUAAGAAGAAGAUGAGAAGGAGGAAAUUCUGUUAAUGGCAGUAGAGGAGGAAAUUGGUGAUGAUGGAGUGGAAGAAGUGAGAAAGGAGAAAGUAGAUAUAGAAGAAGUGUUAUAUAUGGUGACUGUGAAGGAUGAGAGUGAUCAUGGUGAUAACUGGUUCCUUGACACUGGGUGUUCAACACACAUGUCAUGAAAGAAGGAAUGGUUUGUUGAGAUAGAUUUCACUGUCAAAAGCAGGGUGAGGUUUGCUGAUGACAGGACUAUGAAGGUUGAAGGUGUAGGAAAGGUGAUGAUCAGGAAGAGAGAUGGAUCUAAAUGCUUUAUUUCUGGAGUGUUGUAUGUUCCAGGAAUGAAGAGCAAUCUUCUGAGCAUUGGACAGCUACUGGAGAAAGGGUACAAGAUGGUGUUGGAGGAUUGUGCCAUGAAGGUGUAUGACAAUGAGAGGAGAUUGUUGAUUAAAGCAAAUUUGUCAAAGAAUAGAACAUUUAAAGCUGAGCUAGAUGUUCUAGUGCAACAAUGUUUAGCAUCAACAAUUGACAAGGAAGAAUGGCUAUGGCAUUUUCGUUAUGGUCACUUAAACUUCAUUGAUCUGAAUAGGUUACAGAGUAAGGGAAUAGUGAAAGGAAUUUCUCAUAUCAAGGUGCCAAAUGAUGUAUGUGGAGAAUGUAUAAAAAGCAAGAUGUCCAGAAACUCAUUCAAUCAAAAUGUAUCCACAAGAUCCAAGAGGAAGUUGCAAGUUGUUUUUUCUGAUGUAUGUGGACCAAUUCAACAUAUGACUCCUGGAGGUAACAAAUAAUUUGUUACAUUUAUAGAUGAGUUUAGUAGAAAACUUUGGAUUUACUUGAUUAAGAGGAAGAGUGAUGUGAUUGAAGUAUUCAAGAAAUUCAAAGUUUCAGUGGAGAAACAGUGUGGAAAGAAUUUAGAGAUAUUAAGAACGGAUGGUGGGGGUGAAUAUGUAUAUGCUGAGUUUGCUGAAUUUUGUGAGAAAGAAGGCAUCACACAUGAAGUAACACCUCCAUACACUCCUCAACAUAAUGGAGUAGCUGAAAGGAAGAAUAGAACUUUGUUGAACAUGGUGAGGAGCAUGUUAAAGAGCAAGAAACUACCAAAAUAUUUGUGGGGAGAAGCUGUGAACACUGCUGCAUACAUCUUGAACAGAAGCCCAACUAGGAAAUUGGAAAAUAUAACACCUGAGGAAGCUUGGACAGGAGUGAAACCAAGUGUGUCUCACCUCAGUGUUUGGAUUUAUUUGUUAUAGACAUAUACCUGACCAACUGAGAACUAAACUUGAUGAUAAAGGAGAAAUGAUGAUAUUGAUUGGAUAUCACUCAACUGGAGGUUAUAAAUUGUUGAAUCCAGUAAACAACAAGAUAGUGAUAAGCAGGGAUGUAGUAGUGGAUGAAAGCAAGGAUUGGGAGUGGAAUGUCACACCAGAGAUAGAAAAAUAGAAUCAAGUUGAAUUGCAACUUGAAGACAGUGACACUGUGACUGUGCAAGAAAAUGAAACUGGAGAAGGCAGUGCUGAGGGGCCAAGAAGAUCUUUGAGACAGAGACAAGUCCCUCAAAGAUUAAAUGAUUUUGAAUUGUUGAAUGAUGGUGCAAUUAAUGAUGAAGGUGAGCCACUCACAGUGGAAAAGAAGCAGUGCAGAAUAAGAAAUGGAUUAAAGCUAUGAAUGAAGAGCUUAAUUCCAUAGAAAAGAAUAAUACUUGGGAGUUAGUGGAACUACCAAAGAAUAAGAAAGCCAUUGGAGUGAAGUGGGUGUAUAAGGUGAAAGUAAAUCCCAAAGGAGAAGUGGUGAGGUAUAAGGCUAGAUUAGUAGCAAGGGGAUUUCUCCAAAGGCAAGGCAUUGACUAUGAAGAAGUAUUUGCACCUGUGGCUAGAUUAGAGACAGUGAGAGUGGUGGUGGCACAUGCAAGUUUGAGAGGGUGGAAACUACAUCAACUUGAUGUAAAAUCAGCAUUUUUGAAUGGUGAUUUACAAGAGGAAGUGUACAUUGAUCAACCACCUGGGUUUGUAGUGAAAGGCAGUGAGAGAAAGGUGUUCAAAUUGAGGAAGGCUCUAUAUGGGUUGAAACAGGCACCAUGUGCUUGGAACAUGAAAAUAGAUAAGAGCUUGACCAAUUUGGGUUUUGUGAAAUGUAGGUCUGAGCAUGGAGUGUAUGUGAAGUCAGGGGGUGAAGACAUUAUGAUGCUAUGCCUUUAUGUUGAUGAUCUGUUAUUGAUAGGAAACAAUGAAGCAAAAGUGAAUGAAUUUAAGAAAAAUCUGAUGGAUGAGUUUGACAUGACUGACCUGGGUGAGUUGUCAUAUUUCCUUGGAAUUGAAUUCAAGAAGUGUAGUGAAGGAAUUGUUCUCACACAGCAAAAAUAUGCUACUGAUAUUCUGCAUAGAUUCAAUAUGCAACACUGUAACAGUGCUGAAACACCUGCAGAAGCUGGAUUGUGGCUCGAUAGAGAUAAUGAAGAGGACUUAGUAGAUCCUACUGAGUUUAGAAGGAUUGUUGGGGCAUUGAGAUAUCUCUGCAACACCAGACCUGAUCUGGUUUUCAGUGUUGGUCUGAUUAGCAGAGUUAUGGACAGGCCUAGAGUAUCACAUCUCAAUGCAGCAAAACGAAUAUUGAGAUAUGUGAAAGGAACAAUUGGUUAUGGAAUUUCGAUGCCCAUUAACCAUAGUGAAAAUACAAGAAAUCUAUAUGGCUAUACAGAUGUUGAUUGGUGUGGAGACAAAAGUGAUAGGAAGAGCACUGCUGGGUUUGUUUUUCUAAUUGAUUCAGCACCAAUUUCUUGGAGCUCGAAGAAGUAAUCUGUGGUUGCACUUUCAUCGUGCGAAGCUGAAUACAUUGUUGCUGCAAUGGGAGCUUGUCAAGUAGUGUGGCUUGAUACUUUGAUGCAGGAACUGAAGAUCAAAGAAGAAGGUCCAGUUGAGCUAUAUGUAGAUAACAAAUCUACAAUCAAGUUAGCCAAACAUCCAAUUGCACAUGGAAGAUCAAAGCACAUUGAAACCAAAUUUCAUUUCAUAAGAGACCAAGUUGCGAAGGGGAAAUUCAAGUUGAAGUUCUGCAGAUCAGAAGAUCAGCUUGCAGAUAUAUUUACCAAGUCCUUGAAAUCUGAAACCUUCAAGAAACAGAGAAGCACGCUGAAUAUUGUUGAUAGCAGGAAACUAGCUUAAGGGGGCGUGUUAAAAUUCAAUAGAAUAAAUAAGCUAGUUAUUGAUUGAUAUAGAUAUUGCCACGUGUAAUAAGUACUCUCCUAUAUGCUGAACCAUAUACUAAUUCUGUUGAUUGAGUAUUAGUUAUGUGCUAACAGAAAUAAUUUUCGUUGUAAUUGUUUUUCCCUUUCUCUCUCGUUCUUGAAAAAGUGCGUGCGUGAUUUUUUUUGAUGAAUUCAUACUCCAACAUUAUAUAAAUUAAUAACUUAGGUAGAAUAAAGAAAGAAAGAAAAAACUCAUGAAGUUGUAAUUUAAAACAAUUGAAGUCGUGUUUGAGUAUACCACUUUUACAGAAGAAGAAAAAUCAUAUUUGGAUUGAAGUGGUGUUUAAUCAUGCGAUUUUUGUAUACAUUUUCUUACAUGAAUCUUGAAAUUAAGAAGUUCACAACCCUUGAGAUAAGUUUUGGCUUUAUAUCUCUUUCGCUUCCUUUCUCAUUAUAAAUUAUUCUCGCCAAUUUCAACCUUGUUGGAAGCACUAUGCAGACAUUUAUUCGCAGAAGCCUCUGCUAAUGGCUCACAGGUUGGUUCAAACCAGAGUCAUGUUUCGCAAGUGGUUCGGUCUCUGCUAUCUUCAUUCACUAUUCAAGUUUUGCUAGCAUUCAUCGGAGCAAGCAUGUGGUGCCAACGAAUCAUCGUGAACGUCAUUUCCGUUGCUGAUUUCCUAACAGUUGUCUCUGGAAAUAGAACAUGAACUACACCACAAUAAUAUUAGAAAAACGUCAUUGUUCCAGUCUUCAGCAAAAUGCAUAAGGGAAGAAGCACGAUUAGGGUUCCAGUCUAUGCUUCCCAUGGAUCAUGCCGCCGCCGCAUGAAGAUUAUUAGGAAAACAAACUUCUCUUUAAUAUUCUGUAAUGGUAUAUAUAUAAUUCAGAAGAAGCCAACAGCUAGUCAAACCAUUUAAAUUAGAUAAAUGAUGGUGAUUAUCUCCUGGUUGAAAUUUAUUGUUAAUUGUUAGUUUUGGUCAAUCAAGAAAAAAAUCAUUAAAUAAUAAAUAAAUCCUAUCAAAAUCCAUAAUUUUUGAUAAAUUUUUAUUAAAUAAUAGAGAUAGUAUUAAAAAGAAAAUAUCAGAGAAAAAAUAUUUGUAAUAUUUCUUUUUAAAUUAAAUAACAAAGUCAUGUUUUCAUGGAAGACAACUUCAACCAUUUAAAUUUAAAAACAAAUCAUAUAUUUAAACUCGAUUUUAAUUAUUAAAAAAAUAAAACAAAAAUUAUAUUUUAAAAUACUACUUCUUUGUUGGAAGUAUUUUUUAAAAAACGACUUAUCUAUCUCUAGUAAAAAAAUUGAAAUUCCACCCAUUUUGAUAAUUUUUUAAAUAAUUAUCCCCAUCACGUAAAAAAAGUCUAGAUUUAUAAAUGUAACACAUAAAAAAAAUACCAAAUAAUGAUUUUUUUAAUGUUACAUUAUAAUUUGGAUAAAAAAACUAAAAUGAGAGAAAAUUUUCAAUAUAUUUCAAAAAAAAUAAUAUAGAAAAAAUUAUUACACAAUUGUAUAUAUAGACUUUUUUAUAUAAUUUUUUGGACUACUUUCUAACUUUAGAACAUGUGUCACACUUCUAAAAUGGGGAAAGAAAAAAAUGAAAUUCUCCGGUUUCAAUUUUGAUCAAAGCUCUAUCAGGAAAAAAAAAUGAAAUUCUCCGAUUUCAAUUUUGAUCAAAGCUCUAUCAGCCACUAGCUAGGUUCUUCUAGUUUGUUUGGAUAAUUUUUUUCUAUAAACAUUCAAACAUGAAAAACAAAUGUAAAAUGUGUUAAGUUUCUUCGUCAACAAAAUUCAACUUAAGAAUCUUAGCUUUAAUUAGAAGAAGUUAAAUAAAGAGAGUAUAUUAUAUAUAUAUAUAUAUAUAUAUAUAUAUAUAUAUAUAUAUAUAUAAAGUUUUUUAUCCAUAAGAAUCGAAAAUAGGAUUAAAAAAAUUUCAAUAACUCGCAUGAUACUCAAUCAACUUAGUUAAACAAAUUAAGUGCAUAAAAUUAUUUUAGCUUAUCAGAGAAAGUUGAUUUAUUUUACUUUUUUAUUUUAUUUUAUCAUAAAUAUUGAUCGAGAAGUUUAUCCAAAGAUCACCUUAGUCUACUUUAAGAAGUUCAAUGUGGAUAUUCGCAGCACACUUAUAAACAAGGACAGACGGUAAUUAAUCUCCUAAGUUACUCUUAUGAAAAGAAAAGUAUAAAGUAUUUAAUUAUUAUAUCAAAAUUAUGACAUAAGUAGUUAUAUCUAUCUUUUACAUAAUUGAAAACAUUUAAUAAAAGAACCAAAAACAAUAAUUAGUGUCGCUAGCCAAAUCCAUAAACAAGAUAACAAUUGGGUUUUAAUUGAUUGGGUCUCAAAUCAAAUAAUGGAUUUGUCUUUUCCAUGUUAAAAACUAAUCAGUUGGAAUUCGGAAAGAGGAAAAUAUUCUUUAUGAUCAUAAAUCAUUUAGCUAAUGGUUUUUCAUAAAUCAUUUUACUUUCAUAAUUUAUUAUGAUCAUAUUAUUCUUUUUAAGUGACCCUUGAAAAUAAAGAGUAUAUAUAUAUAUAUGAUCAAUUUUGUUACAAAAUUGCAUGGCCAUCGUUUCCAAUUUUGUUACACCUCACAUAAGCUUUUGUAUUUGUUGGCAUGCUUGUCAUGACCAAAGAAGCAAUUUUUUUGUAUGCUUCGUGUUUAUAACUGAGCAGUUGAAUGAACAAUACCAAAAUUGGAGGCUCUCUUUAGAUUCUCCGCGUCUCAAAAUCUAUCCUCUUCACAAAUAAGAUCAACAUCUCGUUUUUUUUUCCUGACAAGAAACCACCAAUGUUUUUCAACGCACAUACUAUAUAUGAUACUAAUUUCAUCUGCAUUAAGUGACUCUCGUUUAGCCCAAAAAAAUUUAUACAAGAAAGAAAUUAAACAAGUUCAUCCACUAACUCUAGUUAGCUCUCCAUAUAUGAAUGCAACAUACAGAAUCUUUUACUUGUGUCAAUCCUAUGAGUUAAUGAGAUCAACAUUCGAUUCAUAUACAUUAUUUUUAUAUAAUUUCUUUAGUAAAUGAGAUAAAUGGAUAUAAGAAAAAAUGUGAAAUAAAAUGAAUAACAUUGGGUCACACGUAUACAGUAUAAUCACACUUCAGUGUGCAUAUAUAUACGUUGCUAUCAUAUCAUAUUAAACUUACACGUGCCUCGCUUAUAUUAUUCGGAUUGUGAAUUUGGGCUACCAUGUCCAGAAAAUAUAUAGAGGCGUCGAUUUUAUACGUUUAUAUACGAUUGACCCGUAGAUCUAGCUAUCUUGUAAUGUUUGGAUUUCAGGAUUAUAAAAGCAUGCGCAGUAUAGUGAGCAGUGAGAGAAAGAAAAGCAAGAAUAAAUCUUUAAAGAGUGGGACCAUGCAUGUCUGAACUAUUUUAUUAGAGGAAUUAUUGUUACUAAACAUGUUUUAAUUUUAUUUGUUGAUACGAUUCCAGUAAGGAAUUAUGUAAAUUAUUACAUCUAGUAGAGGCUAAUUUUUUUAUUAACGUGUUAUUAGUAAGAAGCAUUUAUUAAUUUUUAUUAAAGAAUUUGACCGAUCUUAAGUUUUUCCUCCCAUAAUCUUUUAUGUUAAUGUUGUUUUUUAAUGAAUGAUUCAGAAGCAAAAGCAAGGAAGGUUACUGAGUGGUUGUCAUUAAUUUGUCUAGGAUUUCUAGGCGGAACAUGAAGCCUACAAAUAUGUUGUUAUGUGGCAUGUGAAAUCUCAAUAAAUCGCAAGAUGCAUGGAUUUUGUGCGUUGCAAUUUCAAUUUUCAUUUUGGCGUUAUUCUAUGAGAAUGAAUUUAAUUUGUAUUGUAUCUGGAGUAUCUGCUUGGGUUGUGAAUUUGAUUCUUUAAUGUCUGAUUGCCUCGCAAAUCGCAAUCAUGUGCCUUGGGUCUCGAGGUGUGCUUGUGGAUGGCGAAUUUUUCAUGCAAAAAAUACAAAAUUAUUCAAAUAAUACAAUUAAAAAAUAUUUACAUAUGAUGCAAUUCACUAUUCAAGGUGAGAAAGUUAUUUUUUUAUUUAACACAUAUUUAAUUACUAAAUUUACAAACAUAUUUUUAAUUAAUUUAGCGUCGGUUAAGCUGAAAAAAUACUUAUAUUAGAUUAUAAAAAAAUAAAAAUCUGCUUAUUUUAUUAAAAAAAAUAUUUUUAAAAACAUAAGUAUUUUUUUAUUCAAAUGUAUUUUGUGUUAUUUCAAUUUUUAUUGAGAUUAUAAAAUAUAAGUACAAAAAUGAAAAAUAUAUUAUAAUUAUAAAGUUUACAACAAAAUAUAAUUAUAUAUUAAAAAGUUAAACAAUAAUUGAAACAAUUAUAGUAACAUUUGUAAUUUUUCUAUAUUUUGCAUAGGAAUAGUCGACAUUAAAUUGAAUACAAAUGUGGUUAAAUAACGAUUGUAUCAAUUAUGCAAAUAAUUUUUGGGUUUUAUUAUUUGAAUAAUUUUUUACUUUUUUUAUUAUUGGGGUGAAAAUUUCUAUGGAUAGCUCGGAUAUGUCAUAGUGUUACCACAAAAUGUUAUUAUUGAGCAUUUUACUAUAUAAGACUAAACUUGGCACAAGAUGUGUUAAAAGUUUAGUAUAAAGAUUACGAAGUCUCAAGUUAGAUAUGGAACUAAACUUGGAGCAGUUAUAAUGCGGCGCUUUUGUUUUCCUUUUGAAUCUUUUGGCUUCUUUCACAAUUUCAGCAGAAUUCUUAAUAUUCAAAUUUCUGAAUUUACUUGUGAUUUAUGAUGCAUCCUGGUAAAGGAGUUUUAAAACUGGUGUAGGCUCAAGGUGUGUUUUGUUUAGGAAAUUAGUUCCAGAAAAUUUUGGUUGAGUUUGUCGCCGACCAAUGUUUUAAUUAACUUCCAUAAGCAGAUUCAAAUUGCUUUCAGUGACCAGCAACCAGAAUUAGACAUGAUUUAUUAAUCAUUUGUUUUUAUUCAGAAAACUUAAUGCACCAUGGUGCAUUUUCCAUUUUGUUGAUGCAACCAAUUGUCCAUAUUUUGACCACGUUCCUAUCUAUCACUAGAUAAACAAGCUGUCCCCCAAAAAUUAUCUCCAACUAAUAAUAUUACACGAUCAUCCAAUUCUAUUCCAUUAAAUUCAUGUGCUUUGAGUUCCAAGUGUUAAAAAAACCAUUAGAAACAUAUAGAUAUGCAAAGAAUCAACAAUUCUAGCAGCCGAGAACUAAAACCUUUGAAUCUUUAGCAGUGAGUAAAACGGGUCUAUUCUGCCAAGCAAUUUCAUGUUGGUAACUGAGUGAGGAAUGUACAAUAUCUUCAAAUCAAAUUGCUACUGUAACAAGAAGAACAUGGGAACAGUGGUUCUAGCUGUAGAUCUAUAGAACAUUUUCUUCUUCUUGUAGGUUCUAUUUUCAACUGUUAUCACUAUCUUCCCAGGUUCACUGAUGUAAAAGGAGUUUCUAGUGCUGCUACCAUCUACACUUUGGUUUUGCAGUAGUACAGUGUAUGAGCCUUCAUCAUCUGGAAUGAACUCUUCCUUGUAGGACACAUCCCAUCCCACCACAGUUACAUCCCACAUUAUUGUCACUCCAAGCUAGACACAUUCCAAAAUCAAAUUACAACAAAUAAGCAAAUUAGUCUUACAUGGUAAAUAAUAAUAAUAAUAAUAAUACUUUUAGGUACAUGUGCAUAAGUGCAUUCAAUUUUGAACCAAAAAAAGAUUCAUGUUGUAUAUACCUGUUGGAUCGGAAAUUCAACUUUAGAAACCGUACUUCCUUUGAUUUUAAGCUCUGAAACCUUAUCAGAAGGCGAGAAGUCUUCAUCAUUGUUCCUCCUUAGACCACCAUAUUCAGUUGGAAGGUGCUCUGGGGCUAUAAACCUUCACAAAUGACAAAUGUUAAUUAACUGUGGUUGAAUAAGAUUGAGAGAAUGGAACACUAAGGUUCAUGUUAAGCACACUUACUUGAGAAGUGUCUGUGUGACCUUCUGUGACCUAGCUAAGAUGAACUUCUUUUUAUUUCUCUGGUUCAUGAACCCUGAUAAUAGCACUUGAGAAGUGUAGAACCAAAAUGGAGCAUAUACUAUAAUCUGCAAAUUAAAUCAAAAAAUGGGGGGAAAGAAAAAUCAAUCAGCAUUCUGCAGUUUCAAUUUAGAUUAAAGCCUAAUAGCCACUAAUACCACUAUGCUCUAUUAUACUUUUAUAAACUAACAUUUUUGUGAAUGAUCUCAGGGUAGUAGUUCUGAAACAAUAUUAGAGCCUUUUUGCUGACUGAGUUGAGCUCCUUGGUUCCUUGCAUUGGAGUGUUCCUCAAAUCAAAAACCUGAAGUAUGGAUUCCACCCCUCCUUCUCUAAAACAAAGCUUCUUCACAGCCUUUUCAAUCAUUUGAAUCCUCCACCUCAAAUACUUGUCACAUGUGUUAUCUGAUCCAAAUGUCUUCUUGUAAACACGCCUGUCUUUGAAAAUCUCACAAGCAUGGUAACACACAGGACGACCUUCCCUAUCCUUACCGCACAAGAAUCCUGCAUUAUUUCCGAACUCAGAACCCAAAUCCUCAUCGGUGAUCCCAUCAACGUUGUUCUCGCGGCGCCACACAAGUGUCUUUUGCAGCAUGUCAAAGGCCUCAUUCACCUUGAAAUCCUUGGCCUUCAAGAAUUUCCUCAAAACAACAUCAGUGCCCUCAUGAGCCUUGCUUAGCAACAAAGGGACACCCCAGAGAGUAAUCUCUCUAAUCUGUUCCCUUGCCACUGCUAUUUCUUGUGGUGCAAGUUUCUCAUGAUCUUGUUCUCCUAACAAAUAGUUCCCAAGAAUGGCAUCCUCAACCUUGCAACGAAACUCGAGCAAUGACUUCUUCAUCUUGAGUUUAAUCUCAGCAGGACUAGGCGCCCCCGCGUCUCCCAAAGCUGUGGCAUCAAGAUCAUCGUCAUCAUCUUCUUGAUCACAAUCAUGAUCUUCUUGGUUCUUCUUCUCUUGGACCUUGAGACUCUUCUCAUCAUUGUUGUUGUUCUUAUCAAAGAAAUUGAUAACCAGGGGUACCCCAACAACGAUUUCCCCAUAUUCAUCAUUGCAACAACAUUCAUUGGCGUCGUUCAUGGUUGCCACUCAAAUGUUGUAAUUAAUUCUUCUCCUGCAUGCACCGAUCCUCCUCCUCCUCCUCCUCCUAGAUUAGAGAGCUCCACAAUCGUGAUUUGGACUACUAUAUCAAGAUUUUUUAACUAUCAGCAACUCAACGCGACUGCAAUUGGAACCACAUGAGCUGCAUUUGUCCGCGAUUUGCCACGAUGCCAACAAUCGCGAUGAAACCACGGUGACCGAUAUUUAAAACCUUAGAGCAUUUGAUGGAGGGAGGGGGUGGAGAAGGAAAGAAGAGAAGAAAGGUGGCAUUUACAUUACAUUAUUACAUGCAUAGAUGCAUGCAUGCAUGAGAAGGCCUUGUUAAUUUGUGACAACCCAAUAAUGUUGAGUGAUGAUGGAUCACUUCCCUCAAAUUGAGAAUGCUCAACCGUUAGUUUAGGUGAGUAGCGCCAAAUAUAGAUCACAAGUAAUGGCUUGGUUUCUUAUUCGUUGGCAAAUAAUGUUUUUGAAUGAUUUAAACCAAGUUGGCAUGGCAAGAGGACAACGCUCUUUUUCAUGCAACAAAAUCAAUUCACACGGGCCAACCUCGUCGUAAUCACAACAAACUUGUAACAUCCUGUUUUUUUCAUAAAAUAAAUAAAAAAGUGUGAGGUCGAGUGUAUUGUAUAAUUCAUUAGCAAUAUUUGCAUGCAAAAAUUAUUUUAAGGGUUAGACCUGAAUUAGGAAAGUGAGAUCCUAAUGGAUUCUUCGAAGUUUAGGCCUUCUGGGUAAAUAUACUCUAUUUGAGUGUUCUUUUAAAUCUAUGUUGAUCUAUAUAGUUAGAGUAUUUUCAUAAAACAGAAUGACCUUGGCUAGUCACCUUAUGAUUUCAUUUAGUGAGAGUGACCUAACAUACUCAUUGUAUGAUGUGUCUUGUUAUCUACUCCUAUGCACUCUAGUGUUGUUUAUAACUGACAUGAUACCACAUUACAUAUAGGAUUGAGUCUUAGUGUAUUUAUUGUAUAACACUUGUGUAAUGAUCAUUGUGACUUCUACAUGAUGGUGGGUAAUAAAUUAUGUGAGUGUGAAAUAUUGUGUUGUACUUGAGAUUUGUAAUGUGAAGGUGUGGAAUGUGAUUUUGUAAUUAAAUCAUUGAGACAAGUGAUGUUACGCAAUGAGUAGUAAAAUGAUGUGAAUUGUGCUAAGUUGAGUUUGUUAUACUUAUAUCAUAUACAUGUGUCUUCAUCUUUACCUGUUUAGGAAUAUGAUAAUUCACUAUGUGUGUUGUUUGUGUAUGACUAGGUGGAUUGUUUUAAGGAGCCUCGUACUGAAAGACGUCAGGAUAUAAUGCUCUGAUAAGAUGUGAUAUUGGGAUAUGAGUUUCUGUUUUAAUUGUAUGAAGUUCCAAACAUGUCAUUUUAUUUUAUUUUAUUUUAUCACUAAACUUGAGUUCUUUUGUAAAUUUGAACGGCCUUAUUUUAAGCCGAAAAUGUUUCAAAGAAGUUUUAUUUGAUAAUAGCAGAGUGAAUCUAAAUCCUUUACCCAUCGUGAAUUUACUUACAAUUUUAUUAAAUAAAAUUAAUUUAAUUAGAUUUUAUGUUAUAUAUAUAUAUAUAUAUAUAUAUAUAUAUAUAUUUCAUUUAUAUGCAUAUCAGUGUUGAAGAUAUCACAUCUUUGCAUUCUUUGCGAUCUUAAAACCUGCCUCAAAAAAAAAAAUCAGGGAUCAACUUUUUAUAUAUCCAAUAGCUUAAUAACCAGGGCCUUGCACUUGCACGCACGGGUGUUGAAAUUUUAAUAUACAAAGUAUUUUUAAAAUUAUUUUAGUGUAAAUAUAUAAUCAAAAUAUAUUGGAUUUGCUCAUAAAAUUAUUUGUCUUCAACAUUUGACCUUCAUCAAACACUUAAAAGUGAAGGGAAAAAAAAGUUAAAUGAUGAGAUAUGCAAGGCGUGGUCAAAGGAAAAUAAAAAUAUGUGAUAAAAGUAUGAAAAAUGAGAUGAAUGGUAAAGAAAGUAAAAAGAAACAUAAACUUACCCAUAAUUUCUUCCUUAUCAUGUCAUUUAAAUGAUAAGCCUUUACUGGAAAAACUAACAGUAGAGUAAUAGAAAACACAGAAGCAUGAUGCGUGCAAGGAUUGUCUAGGAUCACAAAAGUGCCACCAGAUCCUACGGGUAUUCAUAAAAAUAUCCGCUAGCAGGAUGAAAAUUAUCCUUAGAGUUGGAUACAAAACGGAUAUAUACUCAUAAGAACGGAUAUAUACCCAUAAAUUUUCAUGUGUAUUAGUGUGGGUAUGGAUAGUAUACCACCUAUAGUAUCCAACUCGUUUGGCCUUGCACAUAUUAUAUAUAUAUAUAUAUAUAUAUAUAUAUAUAUAUAUAUAUAUAUAUAUAUAUAUAUAUAUAUUUUGUAAAAAAUAAUUAUUCUUUUAUGACUAAUAUUUUAAGUCUCUAAUCUUUAACAAUAUUAUUAUAAGAGUGAAAAAUAUCAAACAUUUAAUUAAGUUAUUAGAAUAUUGACUUUAACAAUUGUUAUAUUGGAUGAUUAUUUUUGUAAUUUUAUUUAUUUAUGAGUUUAGAAAAACCAAUAUUAUGUUUGCUUGUUUUAAUUAAAUUUUAAAUAUUUUUAUGAUUUAUUAUUAUUAAUUUUAUAUGAGUCAUAAAUACCAAUAAGGAUAUAUAGUAUAGGAUCAUAUACGGAUAUUAUUUUUAAACACGAUGUAAAUCUUACCCAAGUCCUAUCCAUUAUCACCCUUUUGAUUGUCUAAGGAAAAAAGAAGUAGAAUAUAUAUUUAUUAUAAUUAUAAUUACCCUAAUAAAAAAGAUUAAUUUAAUUAGUUUACUUUAAAAUAAUCUUAUUUACCUCAAUUAAUGUAUAUUAUAACUACCUUGAUUUUAAAAUAGAAUAUACAUUGUUUAAAAUAGCCUACGUAACAACACUUCUUUUAUAAUAAAAAAAAAUUGAUAAAAGUUAUAUUUGUAAAAUAAAUAUAUUUUGAAAAAAGAAAUUAUAAUAAAUUAAUUAUUAUAUUAUAAAAAUCAAAAUAUGCAUAAUUACUAUAAUAAAAUAUUUAUACUGAGCAUACAUAAUUACUAUAACUACUAUAAAUAUAAUAAUAUAAUAAUAAAUAAUAUAUGUAAUAAUUAGUUUAAUUAUACAUUUCAAAAGAGUUUGAUUUUCAUAUGUUAACUUAUUUAAAUUUUCAAAGAUAGUAAUGCGAGAUUAUCAUCCUAUAAUAUAUUUUUGUCACAAAAUUAUCAUAAAUUUAAUGUUUUUUUUUCAAUUUGAAUCCAUUAUAAAUUUGAAAUUCGGAAUAAAAUAUAUGUUAUUUUAAUUAUAUAUAUAUAUAUAUAUAUAUAUAUAUAUAUAAUAAUAAUAAUAUAUUACAAUAAUCACAUUAAUUAUGUAUUUUAAAAUGUUCAAAUUACCAAUGAUCAAUCAUAAAAAUAGAUUAAUUGUCAACUUAUAUAUAAAAUCCCAGUAAUAUAUUUAUGUCACGAAAUUGAUAUAAAUCUUAAGCGAUUUUUAAGAUUUUGAAAUUUGAAAAUUUUGAAUUAGAAUAUAUUGUGUUAUAUAAAUUAAAAAGUGAUAUUGAAAACACGUGAUAUUAAAAAAAAUUGCCAUAAUUAUAAACCAAUAUCUAUUUAAGAUUUAAUGUUUUAAUUGAUUAAUUUAAUCAAAAUAUGUAUACGUGUUAUAAGUGUCUAUGUUACUAUAAUUAAAUAAAAUAGUGUAUUUUUUAUAAAUUAAAAAAUAAAAUAAAAUAAAAUAAUAGAAUUAGGCAAGAAAAGAAUGAAUAUGAUGAUUUCAACCGUGCACCUAUCAGGUAGGCAUUAUUAACCUUCCUAAUUUUGACCAGCACGGUAUGCACGUACGAAAUGUUAAACUAUAUUUUUCUAUAUACAUCAGAAAUAAAAGAAACGUUAUACUAUAUAAAUGUCAGCUGAUCCUGGGACUAGCUUUUUCAUAGAUUUUUUUUUCUUAUAGAUUCCAAUGUAAGACUUAUUUAAAGAAAAUAAUAACAUAUACCACGAACUAACCAGUUGUUGGUACCGUUCAAUUUAUAAAUGUUAGUGUCAGCGUUAAACUGUAUUUGUAAGGUUUAUUUAUAUAAUUUCUUUUACGAUAAUAUAAGAAAAAAGAUAAACAUAAGAUAAUAUUAUGUGAAUAAAAAAUUGUAACCAAAAAGUUAAACCAUAAACAAAAUUCAAAAAUCAAUGAAGAACAAAAAACAUUUUACACUAAAAUUUAACAUAAACACCAAUCAGAAUUUUGUGGUACAAACUCUCCUAAUCAAUCAGUCUGCUUGGGAAACAAAAUAUAUAAAUUGGAUGAUAGAAUUUUCUAAUUAUAGUUCUCUUCAACUAAAGAAGUGACGAAAGCAAAAAAUAUAAUCAAAGGAUUAGUAUCCACUUGACCAACCGCACGAGUUUAAUUAGUUAAUUAUCAUAUUGUCAAAUAUCAUUUUCUAAAAAUCAAACAUAAUAAGCAAAAAAUUCGUACAAGUGAUAAACAAGGCCACUACUUUAGGUUGACAAUUCAACAAUUGUUUCUUUGCAAAUUACUUGACAAACUUGGCCUCUUCUUUCAUUUAGUUCAUAAAGAUGCUUCAAUCCUUAUGCCUAUUUGAGCUUUAGGGCUAUGCAUCACAUGCAAGAAAGUAAUAGUCAAGCCAGAGAAAAAGUUAAAUGAAUAAAAUAUAAUUCAAGAACGAACGUUUGGACAUCUAGCUACUGUAUUCUACAUAAUCUGAGGAAAUCCUAUUUACAAUAGUUUUAAAAAGAACCCAACUGGUAACUUAAAACACAAGAAAUUGAAGAGGGGUGAAAAGAAGGAUUCACAUUAGUUUGGCCACCUCCAGACAAGAAAUAAAAAUGCAACCAACCUCUGAAUGCGGUACAUAUAACAGGCGGCUUAUCAACUGUACCUUAUGGAUGAAUUUUAGAACUCUCGGUAUUUAGUCAAAUCAAAUGUGAGAGUUCUCGAACAGCUGCAAAUUCCAAGUAAACCAGGUCAAUACACUGAGCUAGUGCCAUAAACAUACUAUUUAAAUCAAUUAAUGAUAUCAAGAAAUUUACCCUCUUUCAGAGUCUCUGUAAACCCCAACUAAUGCUUCGGCUUUGUCAUAAAAGGUGUCUUUCAGUGAUAUCACUAUACUCUGAAAACCAUUUCCACCAUCAGCAUCCUGACUAGUCCUUGCUCCUUCACAAGAUUUUGAACGAAUAAAGCCAGCAACCUUGGCAACAUUCAAGUUGUCCAAUGCAGCAUCAACUUCGUCCAAUAUAAAGAAUGGUGAAGGCUUAUAACUGAAACAAGAAGCAAGUAGGGAACCAUGUUAAUGGAACAUGAAGAUCAGAUAUCAGCAAAAUAGUUUUAGGCUUAUGUGAGAUGUGUCAGUAUAUUAGAUGAAUUUGUGUUAUUAAACACAAAUUCAGAGUAGUUACAAAAUAUUCUUGUUCUAAUAUUAGUACAAACAACUACCUAUGGAUGGAGAAUAGCAAUGCAAGUGCAGCAACUGUCUUUUCCCCACCAGAUAGCUGCUCCAUAUCACGGAAGCGCUUUGUUGGGGGCAUAGCAGUGUACUUGAUGCCAUGUAGAAAGGGAUCAUCAUCAUUUUCCAAGUUUAGGUAUGCUGUUCCACCCAGUGGAUGCGUGUUGCUCUUUGUAAGUUGUUUGUAAAUUUUAUCUAUAUUACCAGAUAUAUGGGUGAAAGCAUCCAUGAACAAGUGGUACCUGCAUCCAACACAAACUUUGGCUUCCUCAGAGGACAGAUAAGAUACAACAAUUAUCUAUUCAAAACAAGCUCCAAAACAGACGGCAAAGAAAACUCCCAUAUAUCUCAAUAUGAACAAUAAGUAACUAGAAAUCAAAGAUACACAUAGAAGUCAAAUAAGGAAAGCAUGUCAACUUUUUCUUCUUUUUUGUGUGUGUGUGUUGGGUUGGGGGGGAUGACAUAAGGUCAUAGUUUUCAGAAUUAGAGAGAUUCGCAAGGGGAAAUGUAGGACAAUACAUUUUCAGCAGAAACUUUUCCACAACCCCUUCAGUGAAAUUAUCAAAUAAUCAAGUCGACCAGGAGCUGAUUGACCUUUUUUAUUAGGAAUCUUUUAACAUAAGAUCAUAUUUUGUG
Molecule: long non-coding RNA, 20639 nt
Filed under: Glycine max (soybean)
Lineage: Eukaryota; Viridiplantae; Streptophyta; Magnoliopsida; Fabales; Fabaceae
Description: long non-coding RNA (GMAX_LNC002890)
Source: RNAcentral